This 301-nucleotide ribosomal RNA is filed under the name uncultured bacterium. RNAcentral's name for it is "partial 16S ribosomal RNA". It matches the Rfam family "Bacterial small subunit ribosomal RNA", at positions 509 to 808 of the family's 1533-position model. The record is from RNAcentral.
CAGCCGCCGCGGGAAUACGUAGGUCCCGAGCGUUGUCCGGAUUUAUUGGGCGUAAAGCGAGCGCAGGCGGUUUGAUAAGUCUGAAGUUAAAGGCUGUGACUCAACCAUAGUUCGCUUUGGAAACUGUUUAACUUGAGUGCAAGAGGGGAGAGUGGAAUUCCAUGUGUAGCGGUGAAAUGCGUAGAUAUAUGGAGGAACACCGGUGGCGAAGGCGGCUCUCUGGCUUGUAACUGACGCUGAGGCUCGAAAGUGUGGGGAGCAAACAGGAUUAGAUACCCGCGUAGUCCCUGUCUCUUAUACA